CGGCUGUCGUGGUAAGCCCCUCCUCUGUUCCCUCUGAUGGUAAACUCUGAAUUUGCUUGCUUGCUUUCUUUCUGCAGCAGGCCAAGAAACAAGGAGUGCAUACUUAAUUCAGUUAGUUUUGCAGUAGUUUGGUUGCAGUAGCAGUACUUCAUUCAAGUGAAAAGAUUCAGUUAGUUGUAUCUCUGCAUACUUAAUUCAGUUUGGUUGCAGUAGUUUCUCUCUGAUGGUAGUACUUGUAUCUCUGCAUACUUAAUUAACUGAAUUUGGUUGCAGUAGUUGAUUCAAGUGAAACGAUUCAGUUAGUUUUGCAGUAGUUUUGCUGGAGUAAUAAGGAAAAGUUGCAGUAGUUUGUCAAUGUUAACCUCGGCGUAUCUGCAGUUUCAGUCACUACUUGCUACUCCUACUUAUUACUCCUCGGCGCUGGAGUGCUUCGACGUGUCUGGAGUAUUUUGAGUAGCUAAACAUUUUUGCCUGAAAACUGAAUGUACAAUGUUUCUGUAGAUAAUUUGAUUGAAAAGGGACGGCAUGCUGAGGUGUACAAAGGACAGCUUGCUGAUUGAUAGUUUGUGGCAGUGAAGAGGUUAACAAAAAUACUUAACCAAGCAUGCUGAGGUGAGCAGAGUAGAGACUGUCUACAAUCAUGAUCUAGAGUAGCAUGGAGUAAAAUGUUUGCAAGAGUACAUUUACAGGCAUGAGUACAAUGAAUUAACCAAUUGUUGUCAGUUGAAACUUAAAGUUCAGACAUGAGGUAGUCUUAGAGACCCAUGUACUCCUUGUAUUCAUGUUGUCAGUUGAAGUUGGUAUCUUGCUUGUUUCCAAGUCUUGCGGUUGUACAUGAUGGUUUCAUCAGAUGGAUGUGAACUGAAUGUAUGUCCAGUUUACACCGAUGUAACCUGAUUCUGAAAGAAUGCCACAUACAGAUGGCGUCGACCUUGGCCUCCUCGUCGAUCUGACUCUGCAUUAAGAAAACUUGCUGGCAUCAAGUGUCCCCCUUCCUCCACUGGCAGCCUUCCAUCGAAUUCACAUCAGAAAACUUCAUUCAUUCACCCAGAAAAAAUAACUGACAUUGCCAACAUCUCACAAGAAAGAAGAGAGCAGAGUUGAAGUUGCGAGCCUGUUUACUUGCAGCUACACCUGUGUUCUUCUUCUUCUUCGCAGAAUCAAUCAGGUUUACUUGCAGCCUUACUCACUUUGUGUCUUAGUUAAUCAUAUUCCUCAAUUGAGGAACACCUGGACUUGUCAUUCCGGUCUUGGGAUCAACAGUAGCAUAUGGACUUAUCAUUCUGGUUUUUGGAUGAUUUAGUUAAUCAAAUUGACAUCAAUUGACCUGUUUUUGGAUCAAUUGCAGAUUCUCUUGAUUGGAGUGGAGAGGAGCAGAGACGAGAGGAGCAGCAGAAGUGGACAGCGCAACGGCUGACCUCGAGCUCUUGAUUGGAGUUGGGGGAGGCGGCCGGCGAAGGAUCUGUGGCCAACAGUGAAGGAUCCGAAGCUGUGGCGGAGCAGGCAGCCGGCGGGAAGGGCGGCCGGCGAGGGAGCUGCGGACCGCGGCGGGGAAGGGCGGCCGAUGAGGGAGCUGCGGACCGUGGCGGGGAAGGACGCCAGAGAUGCGGACGAAGGAGGAGCCUGGCGAAAGGGAGCAGCGACGGCGUAGAAGCCUGGCGGAGGGGAGGAGCGACGGAGGAAGACGCCUCCCGAUUGAUUUCAAAUCGGGGGUAGUAUUGUACUUUCACACUGUUUCACCUGGUCGGAACGACGCCCCCAGCGACAAUUAUUUCGGAACGGAGGGAGUAGAUAUGCAAUCGACAAACUGCGGUAAUGACCAAGCAGACCGCAUGCUUACCAAAAAGUUUGCCUCUGCCUCAAAUGACCAACAAAUCACUAUAAGCAAUGUCUACGCGUCCACUCAUCAUGCAGAUGAA
Molecule: long non-coding RNA, 1919 nt
Filed under: Triticum aestivum (bread wheat)
Lineage: Eukaryota; Viridiplantae; Streptophyta; Magnoliopsida; Poales; Poaceae
Description: long non-coding RNA (TAES_LNC014072)
Source: RNAcentral